This 204-nucleotide long non-coding RNA is filed under the name Gossypium barbadense (sea-island cotton). RNAcentral's name for it is "long non-coding RNA (GBAR_LNC001511)". The record is from RNAcentral. Lineage: Eukaryota; Viridiplantae; Streptophyta; Magnoliopsida; Malvales; Malvaceae.
AACAAAACACAUUUUGAAUUCUGUAAAAUGAGAAAUUUGAUUUGUAGUGAAGAGUGGUCAGAUUAGUCAAACAGUGAAACAGAGGAAACUUUAAGAAAAAUCUGGUAUUGAUUGGCCUAACCUAAAAUUCUGGAAAUUUAAUGGAUAGAAUAUAUACGAGUCUAUAUUCAGGAAAAAUUAACGGAAAGUGAUUUAGAGUUUUGU